This is a non-coding RNA of Camellia sinensis, 989 nucleotides long. NCBI's taxonomy places the organism in Eukaryota, Viridiplantae, Streptophyta, Magnoliopsida, Ericales, Theaceae. The record is from RefSeq and is a predicted model, not a curated record.
CUACAACAAAAUAUCAAAUCAUCCCAAACUCCAAAAUUAUUUUCAAAAUAUCCAGCCAAACAAAUCAAAAAAAUUUCCAAACUCUCUCUCCAAAUUUUUUUUUUUUGAAAAUUUAUCUCAAAAAUGUUGACCUUGGUAUGAUUUCUUUAUAUUGGUGCUAAUUGUUGUGGAGUCUUUUUGCACAGUAUCAAUAAAUUAAUUGGUCUCACUCUGCUCUCUCAUUAUGUAGCCAAUGCAACCAACAGUUCUAUAGUUUCUAUAUUCCUGUCUUCCUCAGUGUGUUGUCCAAUUACUCUGACCUUUGCCAAUCAUAUACUUGUUGUCAGGGAAUGGAAAAGUGGGUCAUGUAAAUCAAGCAAAUAACAUGUAUCUGUUUCCUGGGAUUGGAAUGGGAAGCUCUUCUCUCAGGUGCUCGUUUGAUUUUAGAUGGAAUGUAGCAAGCAGCUUCUGAAUGCCUUGCUUCAUUUAUUACAAACGAAGAAAUUCAAAGUGGUAUUUUUGUAUCCUCCUACGAGAAGGAGGUGACGGUGGAAUAUGUCAAACCCAACAUGUGGUUUCCAGUUUACAGCCCCCUCUUAUUCAUGAGAAAUGAAGUUCCGAUCAUCUCUCUCUCUCUCUCUCUGUGCGCAGGCACGCGAUAUUUUUCUGCAGACACUAUCCCAAUGUUUUGCGGCCAUUCAAAUAUUCAUGAUGUAACUGUGGUUUUAAAGCCUAGAGUAGUAAUAUGGGUGAAAAAACAGAACUGGGGAGAGAAGGGUGUAGAAGUUGAAAAAUAAUGCCACUGCAGUUUUGAUUAAGCCCUUUUGUAUAAAUCUGCUUAUUGAUGUAAUGAACAACAUUGUGUAAACUCUCUCUUUUUCAGUUUUUUCAAAAACUUAUUGAUGUUUCAUGUAUGCCUCUUUUUUUUUAGUUAAUUUGGUAUUUCAACCUAUAUACAUUUUGUGAUGAUUCAGAAAAAGAAUAGAAAAGAGAGACUGAACUAUUAAUCA